ACAACAUUCGGACCGUCGGUCUACCGAGCAAUAUCACUCGCUCGGUGGAAGAUCUUCCUUUCAUCGU
RNAcentral lists this microRNA precursor (67 nucleotides) under Bombyx mori (domestic silkworm). RNAcentral's name for it is "mir-2774 microRNA precursor family". It matches the Rfam family "mir-2774 microRNA precursor family". Lineage: Eukaryota; Metazoa; Arthropoda; Insecta; Lepidoptera; Bombycidae. The record is from Rfam by way of RNAcentral.